GGCCUCGUAGCUCAACUGGUAGAGCACACGUGCGUUGCUGAAGUGUGAGCGUGGAGUCUAUGCGUGGGUGGGAAUCUCACCGGAGUCA
RNAcentral lists this transfer RNA (88 nucleotides) under Fasciola hepatica (liver fluke). RNAcentral's name for it is "tRNA-Asn". Lineage: Eukaryota; Metazoa; Platyhelminthes; Trematoda; Plagiorchiida; Fasciolidae. The record is from RNAcentral.